GCUGUGGUGGUGUAGGGGUUAGCACGGGGGAUUGUGGUUCCCCCAGCCCGGGUUCAAUUCCCGGCCACGGCCCCA
Molecule: transfer RNA, 75 nt
Filed under: Methanobacteriota archaeon
Lineage: Archaea; Methanobacteriati; Methanobacteriota
Also listed under: 3 other names
Description: Euryarchaeota archaeon (marine metagenome) tRNA-His
Rfam family: tRNA
About the family: Transfer RNA (tRNA) molecules are approximately 80 nucleotides in length. Their secondary structure includes four short double-helical elements and three loops (D, anti-codon, and T loops). Further hydrogen bonds mediate the characteristic L-shaped molecular structure. tRNAs have two regions of fundamental functional importance: the anti-codon, which is responsible for specific mRNA codon recognition, and the 3' end, to which the tRNAs corresponding amino acid is attached (by aminoacyl-tRNA synthetases). tRNAs cope with the degeneracy of the genetic code in two manners: having more than one tRNA (with a specific anti-codon) for a particular amino acid; and 'wobble' base-pairing, i.e. permitting non-standard base-pairing at the 3rd anti-codon position.
Source: RNAcentral